GACGAACGCUGGCGGCGUGCUUAACACAUGCAAGUCGAACGGAAAGGCCCUGCUUGCAGUGUACUCGCGUGGCGAACGGGUGAGUAACACGUGGGUGAUCUGCCCUUCACUUCGGGAUAAGCCUGUGAAACUGGGUCUAAUACCGGAUAGGAGCCAUUUUUAGUGUGAUGGUUGGAAAGUUUUUUCGGUGUAGGAUGAGCUCGCGGCCUAUCAGCUUGUUGGUGGGGUAAUGGCCUACCAAGGCGGCGACGGGUAGCCGGCCUGAGAGGGUGGACGGCCACAUUGGGACUGAGAUACGGCCCAGACUCCUACGGGAGGCAGCAGUGGGGAAUAUUGCACAAUGGGCGCAAGCCUGAUGCAGCGACGCCGCGUGGGGGAUGACGGCCUUCGGGUUGUAAACUCCUUUCGCUAGGGACGAAGCUUUUUGUGACGGUACCUAGAUAAGAAGCACCGGCUAACUACGU
Molecule: ribosomal RNA, 464 nt
Filed under: uncultured bacterium
Lineage: Bacteria
Description: partial 16S ribosomal RNA
Rfam family: Bacterial small subunit ribosomal RNA
Source: RNAcentral